This is a long non-coding RNA of Felis catus (domestic cat), 2038 nucleotides long. RefSeq lists it as uncharacterized. The transcript is spliced from 2 exons. Lineage: Eukaryota; Metazoa; Chordata; Mammalia; Carnivora; Felidae. The record is from RefSeq and is a predicted model, not a curated record.
CUCUCUCUCUCUCUCUCUCUCUCUCUCAAUGUAAAUAAACUUAAAAAAAUAAAAAACUUACCAUGGCAACAGUCACAUUGUGAACAUAGCUACACAAGUAAUUCAGGCACACAUGUGUUUGCACACUGUUGUAUACCCAUCAAUAGUUACAUAAUGUAGUCCUAGUUCAUCCAUACAAACAUUUAUUUCACACAUAAAUAGUUAAAAUAGUCUCACAUUUAACUCAUAUAAACCUAUUUGUGCAUACAGAGUCAUGAAUAGCUAUAGAUUAUGUGAACACUACCAUUGAAUAAUUCUAGAAUUGUCAUUUCUUUCCUUUUGAGCAAAAUAGUCAUAAUGAGUGCAAUAUUUCCCAGUUAUGCUUAAUAUAUGUAUGCCUUAAAGAAAUGAUUCUGUCUUUGUCAUGAAAUACCUUCUGCCUUAAGUUAGAAUCUUCCAGAAGUGGACCCAAGGCAGGGGUAAAUACUGUUUGGAAAUCAAACUGGAAACUUUAUGAUGCUGAUGUUAAAGAGCACAGCUUUGGGGCACCUGGGUUUGUUCUUCAGGAAUUACCCUCUUGUAAUGUAGAAAAGUAUCCCUCAACAACAACAACAACAACAACACACACACACACACACACACACACACACACACACACACACACGCCCUGUCUUCAAGUUACUAGGCUGGUAUAAGGAAUCACUGGGGCUCUGGUUGUUGGUGAGAGAAACUAGAGUCUAAGUAACCCCUUAAAUCGAGGGAAAUGUUGGUAAGCAAAUACUGUGAGGAUUAAUACCUAAGCCCAUGAAUCAGAAAAGGAGCCUUAGGUCCAAAACCUAGAGAGCCAGGAACAAGUGUGGAUGUAAAGCAUAAAACCCUGCACCAGGGCAAGCAGUUUGGAGAGAACACACAAACAAAACUAGCUUUUAGAAAUGGGCUUGCAUGUGUUGGUCUCCUGUAAGAAGGAGGAAGGCCCUGUGGCUUCCAGGAGCAAUAGCUGACCUGCUGGACACCAGCGUUGAUUUUGGGGGCUCCUUUGCAAGACUUUGGGGCUAAUGGGGCUCCAUUGCAAGACUGUGCCUUACAACCUUCUCAUCUAUUAUUAAUAACUGAUGAUAACCCCGUAAGGUUCAGUCUAAGUGGUGUCACAUUCAGAGCAAAUGUAUCCAACUGCAGAAGCUUUGAAAAUACAGACUCUUGGAGGAGUAGCUAGAGUGGUUUGAUACUGCAUGUCAUAUGGGAAGCUUCUUUGAAAGUCCCAUUGGGUUAGCUCCCCGUUUACCACAGCACAGCUUUUCUUUAUUCAGUCAGUCUGAACUCCGCUCUUUCUCUCUUGGAGGGUUAGGUGCCUCCCAAUAUGCUCUGCAAAGAAGAUUCCCGAAACAGACCCAUUUUACAAAAACACAUUUAUGGAAGAGAGAAAAGACAGGAAGAACUCAUAUGAUGAGAGACCCCCAGUAUACCAUCAAAAUGUUACAUCUGGCCUUGUCACGGACACUGUCAAGCUCUUUGCCCAGACUGUUGGCCAGGACUCCAAAGUUCUUCUUCUGCUACUACUUGUUCCUGCCAACUCAGGGGAGGAUUUCACCAUCAAGGCAGUGCAAGGCACCUUGCUCUACUAAGGGCGGAAAAAUCGCUAUGACUAUUACAGUGAUAGAAGAGAGAUGCUAUCUGUAAAUUACAGUGGGUCUUGAAUGGAGAUAGUUAUGCUACCGACUCAAUUAGAGCUCUGUCUUGACACUGUUGGCUUGCAGAAGUUUGUUCAACAGAAUCUGUCGUGGUUUUAAUUAUAGCUGCUUGAAAGGCUCUAUAAUCCUAACAAGUGGCAGAGUUGGGUCUUUUGAAUGUUUUGCUUUUCGGUUGUUUUGUUAUCAGUUAGGUGAAUGCUGGGCAAAAUAUUUUGUCGGGUUCUGUUAGUUUUACAGCUGGAAUAUUUUUGUUUCGCUUAAAAGUAGCUCACUUAAUUCUAGCAAAACUCUGACAGAGAAAAUAAAUUGCACAACUGGGAAUGAACUCCUGCCUAAUAAUAUAUAAAGAGUAGCACAAAAAUCUGAAGAUA